RNAcentral lists this long non-coding RNA (712 nucleotides) under Aotus nancymaae (Ma's night monkey). Its description in RNAcentral is "lncRNA (ENSANAG00000039221.1)". Lineage: Eukaryota; Metazoa; Chordata; Mammalia; Primates; Aotidae. The record is from RNAcentral.
GAUCCCCACCCUGGCCCUGCAGGCCUGCUGAGAAGGGGCUGGAGGUGUCAGGGGCAGGAUUCGCACAGGAAAGGAAAUGGCAACGGGAUUCUGCCCCUGCUCCCCACCAGCGCAGGAUGGAGGAGGCCUUGGUGUCCCUGCAACAGCUCUAGCAUUCCAGGCAGGGGCUUCCUUGCAGCCGGCCAGCAGGUGACCUCGCUGUGUCCUCCGGUUGGAGGGUGGCAGCCGCUACUCCACCUUCCCACCUGCCUGGCUGAGCCUUGGCCUGUGUCCCCCCGGAGCUUUCAGCUGCCCCUUCCCUGCACACGAUGGCCCGCCUGGACCAUGUUACGGUGUCACUGUGUCACCCAAAGGCAGGAAAUGAACAUGGGUGCAGGCCUGCCAGCGAAACCUCAGGCUCCCCGUUCCAGCUUCGUCAGUUUCCCCCAGAGUCCUUUUCUUUCCUGGCCAGGCCCCACCCGGGGUCCCGCGUGGCGUUUCGUCCUGUGUCUCUUUAGUUUCAUAAAGGUCCGUCAUGGUUAAAGACAUGCUUUGCUUGUCUUUAACGACCUCGACAGCUUGAAGAGGCCUGCUCAGGCUUUCUGUGAAACACCCCCUAAUAUGGGUUUGCCCGUCUUCCCGAAGUCACGCUGAGGGGACAGUGUUUGGGGAAGGACGCUCCACUCGAGGCGCCUCUCUCCUCACCACCCGCAGGGGUCCCAGAGACCCCCAC